Molecule: ribosomal RNA, 447 nt
Filed under: Candida tropicalis
Lineage: Eukaryota; Fungi; Ascomycota; Pichiomycetes; Serinales; Debaryomycetaceae
Description: eukaryotic LSU rRNA
Rfam family: 5.8S ribosomal RNA (bases 127-280)
Source: RNAcentral
UUGCACCACAUGUGUUUUUUAUUGAACAAAUUUCUUUGGUGGCGGGAGCAAUCCUACCGCCAGAGGUUAUAACUAAACCAAACUUUUUAUUUACAGUCAAACUUGAUUUAUUAUUACAAUAGUCAAAACUUUCAACAACGGAUCUCUUGGUUCUCGCAUCGAUGAAGAACGCAGCGAAAUGCGAUACGUAAUAUGAAUUGCAGAUAUUCGUGAAUCAUCGAAUCUUUGAACGCACAUUGCGCCCUUUGGUAUUCCAAAGGGCAUGCCUGUUUGAGCGUCAUUUCUCCCUCAAACCCCCGGGUUUGGUGUUGAGCAAUACGCUAGGUUUGUUUGAAAGAAUUUAACGUGGAAACUUAUUUUAAGCGACUUAGGUUUAUCCAAAACGCUUAUUUUGCUAGUGGCCACCACAAUUUAUUUCAUAACUUUGACCUCAAAUCAGGUAGGACU